UAUGAAGAACGUAGCGAAAUGCGAUAAGUAAUGUGAAUUGCAGAAUUCAGUGAAUCAUCGAGUCUUUGAACGCACAUUGCGCCCCCUGGUAUUCCGGGGGGCAUGCCUGUCCGAGCGUCAUUGCUGCCCUCAAGCACGGCUUGUGUGUUGGGCCCCCGUCCCCGGUUUCCCCCGGGGACGGGCCCGAAAGGCAGCGGCGGCACCGCGUCCGGUCCUCGAGCGUAUGGGGCUUUGUCACCCGCUCUGUAGGCCCGGCCGGCGCCAGCCGACACCCAACUUUAUUUCUAAGGUUGACCUCGGAUCAGGUAGGGAUACCCGCUGAACUUAAGCAUAUCAAUAAGCGGAGGA
RNAcentral lists this unclassified non-coding RNA (348 nucleotides) under soil metagenome. Its description in RNAcentral is "partial contains 5.8S ribosomal RNA, internal transcribed spacer 2, and large subunit ribosomal RNA". The stretch from base 2 to 120 matches the Rfam family "5.8S ribosomal RNA", at positions 36 to 154 of the family's 154-position model. The record is from RNAcentral.